GUAGGGGCCGAACGUUUGUCCGGAUUUAUUGGGCGUAAAGGGCUCGUAGGCGGUUCAACAAGUCGGUCGUGAAAUGCCGGGGCUCAACCCCGGAACGCCGGUCGAAACUGUUGUGACUAGGGUCCGGUAGAGGUGAGCGGAAUUCUCGGUGUAGCGGUGGAAUGCGCAGAUAUCGAGAGGAACACCAGUUGCGAAGGCGGCUCACUGGGCCGGUACCGACGCUAAGGAGCGAAAGCAUGGGGAGCAAACAGGAUUAGAUACCCUGGUAGUCCAUGCUGUAAACGGUGAACACUAGGUGUGGCGGAUCUAUUGAUGUCUGCCGUACCGUAGCUAACGCGUUAAGUGUUCCGCCUGGGGAGUACGGCCGCAAGGCUA
Molecule: ribosomal RNA, 375 nt
Filed under: uncultured organism
Description: partial 16S ribosomal RNA
Rfam family: Bacterial small subunit ribosomal RNA
Source: RNAcentral